UUGUUACUCCCUCCGUUCGGAAUUACUUGUCGCGAAAAUGUAUGUAUCUAGAACUAAAAUACGUCUAGAUACAUUCAUUUCUGCGACGAGUAAUUCUGAACGGAGGGAGUAGUAU
Non-coding RNA from Triticum aestivum (bread wheat), 115 nucleotides. Lineage: Eukaryota; Viridiplantae; Streptophyta; Magnoliopsida; Poales; Poaceae. The record is from Rfam.